Molecule: microRNA precursor, 70 nt
Organism: Cavia aperea (Brazilian guinea pig)
Lineage: Eukaryota; Metazoa; Chordata; Mammalia; Rodentia; Caviidae
Product: microRNA 30a
Source: Ensembl
GUGACUGUAAACAUCCUCGACUGGAAGCUGGGAGGCCAGAAUGGGCUUUCAGUCGGAUGUUUGCAGCUGC